CUCUCUCUUCUGAAACACGAAAGUAUACCAAUCCUUCGGGAAAGGGGAGAAUCCUAAGUGCUUCCAAGAAAAACCUCUAAGGCUAGGUUUAAACAAUCCGUACCGUAAACCGACACAGGUGGGUGAGGAGAAUAUCCUAAGGCGCUCGGGUGAGCCGCGGUUAAGGAAUUCGGCAAAAUUGUCCUGUAACUUCGGGAGAAAGGACCCCUACUUCGGUAGGGCGCAGUGAAAAGGCCUAGGCGACUGUUUAACAAAAACACAGGACUCUGCUAAAUCGUAAGAUGAUGUAUAGGGUCUGACACUUGCCCGGUGCUGGAAGGUUAAAGAAGGAGGUCAGCGCAAGCGAAGCUUUCGACUGAAGCCCCAGUAAACGGCGGCCGUAACUAUAACGGUCCUAAGGUAGCGAAAUUCCUUGUCGGGUAAGUUCCGACCUGCACGAAUGGUGUAACGAUCUAGGCACUGUCUCAACCGCGAGCCCGGUGAAAUUGAAGUAUCGGUGAAGAUGCCGGUUACCCGCAACGGGACGGAAAGACCCCAUGCACCUUCACUACAACUUUGCACUGAAUUUGAUUAAAUGAUGUGUAGGAUAGGUGGGAGACUUUGAAGUUGGAGCGCUAGCUCUAAUGGAGUCAUCCUUGAAAUACCACCCUUUAUUUGAUUAGAUUCUAACUCUAGAUAAGGAGGACACUGCAUGGUGGGUAGUUUGACUGGGGUGGUCGCCUCCCAAAAUGUAACGGAGGCUUCUAAAGGUACCCUCAGCACGCUUAGUAACCGUGCGCAGAGUGCAAUGGCACAAGGGUGCUUGACUGCAGGACUGACAAGUCAAGCAGGGACGAAAGUCGAGCAUAGUGAUCCGGUGGUUCCAUAUGGAAGGGCCAUCGCUCAAAGGAUAAAAGGUACGCUGGGAUAACAGGCUGAUCUCCCCCAAGAGCUCAUAUCGACGGGGAGGUUUGGCACCUCGAUGUCGGCUCGUCACAUCCUGGGGCUGGAGAAGGUCCCAAGGGUUGAGCUGUUCGCUCAUUAAAGUGGCACGCGAGCUGGGUUCAGAACGUCGCAAGACAGUUCGGUCCCUAUCUGUUGUGGGCGUUAGAAAUUUGAGAGGAGCUGACUCUAGUACGAGAGGACCGUGUCGGACAAACCGCUGGUGUAUCUGUUGUGACGCCAGUUGCAUUGCAGAGUAGCUACGUUUGGAAGGGAUAAGCACUGAAAGCAUCUAAGUGCGAAGCCUACCUCAAGAUGAGAUUUCUUUUAAGGGUCGUUGAAGAUUACAACGUUGAUAGGUCACAGAUGUAAAGUUGGUAACAGCAAAGUCGAGUGAUACUAAUAGCCCGUAGACUUUCUUUU
RNAcentral lists this ribosomal RNA (1344 nucleotides) under metagenome. RNAcentral's name for it is "bacterial LSU rRNA". It matches the Rfam family "Bacterial large subunit ribosomal RNA", at positions 1547 to 2925 of the family's 2925-position model. The record is from RNAcentral.